Lolium rigidum is the source of this 558-nucleotide long non-coding RNA. RefSeq lists it as uncharacterized. NCBI's taxonomy places the organism in Eukaryota, Viridiplantae, Streptophyta, Magnoliopsida, Poales, Poaceae. The record is from RefSeq and is a predicted model, not a curated record. The transcript has 3 exons.
CUUCCAGGCAAUGCAAUGUUUGAUGAGCUAUUUCCAUCCUAAAUUUUUUUGCUUCCUUUUUCAUGCAUAUCUAUUCUCAGUUUCAGACUAAUUAGUUUCGUGUUUGUCGCACAUAUUAGUGAUGAUUAUGAGAAUCUCAUAGCACUUGAUGACAACAACCAUCACAAAGGAGCUUCUGACAGCGAAAUAGACAGCCUACCACUAUCUGUAGUUGAGGGAGGAAGUUGCCGCGAUGAGCUCUGUCCUGUAUGCCUGGAUUGCCCUGCUGAGGGUGCUUUCGUCCGGCAUCUCCCGUGCGCUCACAAGUUUCACAAAGAGUGCAUCGACACGUGGCUUAGGAUGAGGACUUCAUGCCCAGUGUGCAAAUCCAAUGUAUUCUGACUAGACGGCGCUCCGACUGUUGUCGUGAUAGCAUGAAGAAUAGAUUAGGAAGCAUUUUCUGGUGCCACAGUGCGUAAACAACUUCGUAAUGUUGUGUCGCACUAUGCUGGGUGGCUCUCCCUGAACAGAGAGUAUUUGAACGUUGCAUAGCAUCCCUCUCUCUGGUUGGCUGUGAGA